This 1445-nucleotide ribosomal RNA is filed under the name Serratia marcescens. RNAcentral's name for it is "bacterial SSU rRNA". It matches the Rfam family "Bacterial small subunit ribosomal RNA". The record is from RNAcentral. Lineage: Bacteria; Pseudomonadati; Pseudomonadota; Gammaproteobacteria; Enterobacterales; Yersiniaceae.
AUGGACAUACGCUGCUGACGUCGGUAGCACAGUGAGAGCUUAGCUCUCUGAGGUGACGAGCGGGGGACCCGGGAAAUAAUAUUUGGGAAACUGCCUGGCGGAGGGGGGGAAUUUUUGUAACCGGUAGCUAAUACCCCGAAAGGGGGGAAGGCCAAAGAGGGGGCCCUUUGGGCCUCUUGCCAUCAAAUGUGCCCCGAUGGGGUUAGGUGGUAGGUUGGGUAAUGGCUCACCUAGGCGACGAUCCUUAGUUGGUUUGCCCCGAUGACCAGCCACACUGGAACUCAGACCCCCUCCAGACUCCUACGGGAGGCAGCAGUGGGGAAUUUUGCACAAUGGCCGCAAGCCUGAUGCAGCCAUGCCGCGUGUGUGAAGAAGGCCUUCGGGUUCUAAAGCACUUUCAGCGAGGAGGAAGGUGGUGAACUUAAUACGUUCAUCAAUUGACGUUACUCGCAGAAGAAGCACCGGCUAACUCCGUGCCAGCAGCCGGGGUAAUACGGAGGGUGCAACCGUUAAUCGGAAUUACUGGGCGUAAAGGCCCACGCGGGGCGGUUUGUUAACUCAAAUGUAAAAUCCCCGGGCUCCACCGGGGGAACUGCCUCUUGAAACUGGCAAUCUAGAGUCUCCUACACGGGGGGUAAAAUCUCCGGGGGGACCGGUUAAAUGCGUAGAGAUUUUUGGGAGGGGUUCCCCCGGGGAAAAUAUAUCCCCCCUGGAUCCAAGACAGAUAUUCACGGUGCGAAAGCGUGGUGGAGCCAAGGGGGGGGCCUGCCCCGGGGGACCACUCUUCGUAAAAGAAAUCAAUUUAUUUGAGGGCGUCCCCGUGGGGGGUUUCGUCCGGCCCCAACGCGUUAAAUAAACCGCCUGGGGAGACCGGCCGGAAGGUUAAAACUCCGGUGAAUUGACGGGGGCCCGCACAAGCGGUGGAGCAUGUGGUUUAAUUCGAUGCAACGCGAAGAACCUUACCUACUCUUGACAUCCAGAGAACUUUCCAGAGAUGGAUUGGUGCCUUCGGGAACUCUGAGACAGGUGCUGCAUGGCUGUCGUCAGCUCGUGUUGUGAAAUGUUGGGUUAAGUCCCGCAACGAGCGCAACCCUUAUCCUUUGUUGCCAGCGGUUCGGCCGGGAACUCAAAGGAGACUGCCAGUGAUAAACUGGAGGAAGGUGGGGAUGACGUCAAGUCAUCAUGGCCCUUACGAGUAGGGCUACACACGUGCUACAAUGGCGUAUACAAAGAGAAGCGACCUCGCGAGAGCAAGCGGACCUCAUAAAGUACGUCGUAGUCCGGAUUGGAGUCUGCAACUCGACUCCAUGAAGUCGGAAUCGCUAGUAAUCGUAGAUCAGAAUGCUACGGUGAAUACGUUCCCGGGCCUUGUACACACCGCCCGUCACACCAUGGGAGUGGGUUGCAAAAGAAGUAGGUAGCUUAACCUUCGGGAGGGCGCUUAC